AAACGACUCUCGGCAACGGAUAUCUCGGCUCUCGCAUCGAUGAAGAACGUAGCGAAAUGCGAUACUUGGUGUGAAUUGCAGAAUCCCGUGAACCAUCGAGUCUUUGAACGCAAGUUGCGCCCCAAGCCUUCUGGCCGAGGGCACGUCUGCCUGGGUGUCACGAA
RNAcentral lists this ribosomal RNA (164 nucleotides) under Nasturtium officinale. RNAcentral's name for it is "5.8S ribosomal RNA". It matches the Rfam family "5.8S ribosomal RNA". Rfam says of the family: 5.8S ribosomal RNA (5.8S rRNA) is a component of the large subunit of the eukaryotic ribosome. It is transcribed by RNA polymerase I as part of the 45S precursor that also contains 18S and 28S rRNA. The record is from RNAcentral. Lineage: Eukaryota; Viridiplantae; Streptophyta; Magnoliopsida; Brassicales; Brassicaceae.